This 27-nucleotide non-coding RNA is filed under the name Mus musculus (house mouse). The record is from RNAcentral. Lineage: Eukaryota; Metazoa; Chordata; Mammalia; Rodentia; Muridae.
UGUGAAGAGGAGCAUUGGACUUCUGGC